GGUUAAGCGACUAAGCGUACACGGUGGAUGCCCUGGCAGUCAGAGGCGAUGAAGGACGUGCUAAUCUGCGAUAAGCGUCGGUAAGGUGAUAUGAACCGUUAUAACCGGCGAUUUCCGAAUGGGGAAACCCAGUGUGUUUCGACACACUAUCAUUAACUGAAUCCAUAGGUUAAUGAGGCGAACCGGGGGAACUGAAACAUCUAAGUACCCCGAGGAAAAGAAAUCAACCGAGAUUCCCCCAGUAGCGGCGAGCGAACGGGGAGGAGCCCAGAGCCUGAAUCAGUGUGUGUGUGAGUGGAAGCGUCUGGAAAGGCGCGCGAUACAGGGUGACAGCCCCGUACACAAAAAUGCACAUGCUGUGAGCUCGAUGAGUAGGGCGGGACACGUGGUAUCCUGUCUGAAUAUGGGGGGACCAUCCUCCAAGGCUAAAUACUCCUGACUGACCGAUAGUGAACCAGUACCGUGAGGGAAAGGCGAAAAGAACCCCGGCGAGGGGAGUGAAAAAGAACCUGAAACCGUGUACGUACAAGCAGUGGGAGCACAGAGCAAUCUGUGUGACUGCGUACCUUUUGUAUAAUGGGUCAGCGACUUAUAUUCUGUAGCAAGGUUAACCGAAUAGGGGAGCCGAAGGGAAACCGAGUCUUAACUGGGCGUUAAGUUGCAGGGUAUAGACCCGAAACCCGGUGAUCUAGCCAUGGGCAGGUUGAAGGUUGGGUAACACUAACUGGAGGACCGAACCGACUAAUGUUGAAAAAUUAGCGGAUGACUUGUGGCUGGGGGUGAAAGGCCAAUCAAACCGGGAGAUAGCUGGUUCUCCCCGAAAGCUAUUUAGGUAGCGCCUCGUGAAUUCAUCUCCGGGGGUAGAGCACUGUUUCGGCAAGGGGGUCAUCCCGACUUACCAACCCGAUGCAAACUGCGAAUACCGGAGAAUGUUAUCACGGGAGACACACGGCGGGUGCUAACGUCCGUCGUGAAGAGGGAAACAACCCAGACCGCCAGCUAAGGUCCCAAAGUCAUGGUUAAGUGGGAAACGAUGUGGGAAGGCCCAGACAGCCAGGAUGUUGGCUUAGAAGCAGCCAUCAUUUAAAGAAAGCGUAAUAGCUCACUGGUCGAGUCGGCCUGCGCGGAAGAUGUAACGGGGCUAAACCAUGCACCGAAGCUGCGGCAGCGACACUGUGUGUUGUUGGGUAGGGGAGCGUUCUGUAAGCCUGUGAAGGUGUGCUGUGAGGCAUGCUGGAGGUAUCAGAAGUGCGAAUGCUGACAUAAGUAACGAUAAAGCGGGUGAAAAGCCCGCUCGCCGGAAGACCAAGGGUUCCUGUCCAACGUUAAUCGGGGCAGGGUGAGUCGACCCCUAAGGCGAGGCCGAAAGGCGUAGUCGAUGGGAAACAGGUUAAUAUUCCUGUACUUGGUGUUACUGCGAAGGGGGGACGGAGAAGGCUAUGUUGGCCGGGCGACGGUUGUCCCGGUUUAAGCGUGUAGGCUGGUUUUCCAGGCAAAUCCGGAAAAUCAAGGCUGAGGCGUGAUGACGAGGCACUACGGUGCUGAAGCAACAAAUGCCCUGCUUCCAGGAAAAGCCUCUAAGCAUCAGGUAACAUCAAAUCGUACCCCAAACCGACACAGGUGGUCAGGUAGAGAAUACCAAGGCGCUUGAGAGAACUCGGGUGAAGGAACUAGGCAAAAUGGUGCCGUAACUUCGGGAGAAGGCACGCUGAUAUGUAGGUGAAGUCCCUCGCGGAUGGAGCUGAAAUCAGUCGAAGAUACCAGCUGGCUGCAACUGUUUAUUAAAAACACAGCACUGUGCAAACACGAAAGUGGACGUAUACGGUGUGACGCCUGCCCGGUGCCGGAAGGUUAAUUGAUGGGGUCAGCGCAAGCGAAGCUCUUGAUCGAAGCCCCGGUAAACGGCGGCCGUAACUAUAACGGUCCUAAGGUAGCGAAAUUCCUUGUCGGGUAAGUUCCGACCUGCACGAAUGGCGUAAUGAUGGCCAGGCUGUCUCCACCCGAGACUCAGUGAAAUUGAACUCGCUGUGAAGAUGCAGUGUACCCGCGGCAAGACGGAAAGACCCCGUGAACCUUUACUAUAGCUUGACACUGAACAUUGAGCCUUGAUGUGUAGGAUAGGUGGGAGGCUUUGAAGUGUGGACGCCAGUCUGCAUGGAGCCGACCUUGAAAUACCACCCUUUAAUGUUUGAUGUUCUAACGUGGACCCGUGAUCCGGGUUGCGGACAGUGUCUGGUGGGUAGUUUGACUGGGGCGGUCUCCUCCUAAAGAGUAACGGAGGAGCACGAAGGUUGGCUAAUCCUGGUCGGACAUCAGGAGGUUAGUGCAAUGGCAUAAGCCAGCUUGACUGCGAGCGUGACGGCGCGAGCAGGUGCGAAAGCAGGUCAUAGUGAUCCGGUGGUUCUGAAUGGAAGGGCCAUCGCUCAACGGAUAAAAGGUACUCCGGGGAUAACAGGCUGAUACCGCCCAAGAGUUCAUAUCGACGGCGGUGUUUGGCACCUCGAUGUCGGCUCAUCACAUCCUGGGGCUGAAGUAGGUCCCAAGGGUAUGGCUGUUCGCCAUUUAAAGUGGUACGCGAGCUGGGUUUAGAACGUCGUGAGACAGUUCGGUCCCUAUCUGCCGUGGGCGCUGGAGAACUGAGGGGGGCUGCUCCUAGUACGAGAGGACCGGAGUGGACGCAUCACUGGUGUUCGGGUUGUCAUGCCAAUGGCACUGCCCGGUAGCUAAAUGCGGAAGAGAUAAGUGCUGAAAGCAUCUAAGCACGAAACUUGCCCCGAGAUGAGUUCUCCCUGACCCUUUAAGGGUCCUGAAGGAACGUUGAAGACGACGACGUUGAUAGGCCGGGUGUGUAAGCGCAGCGAUGCGUUGAGCUAACCGGUACUAAUGAACCGUGAGGCUUAACCUU
Molecule: ribosomal RNA, 2905 nt
Filed under: Escherichia coli O157:H7
Lineage: Bacteria; Pseudomonadati; Pseudomonadota; Gammaproteobacteria; Enterobacterales; Enterobacteriaceae
Description: 23S ribosomal RNA
Rfam family: Bacterial large subunit ribosomal RNA
Source: RNAcentral